UGUGUGUGUGUGUGUGUGUGUGUGCGUGUGUAGGCAGCCUGAGUGAAGGGGUGCAGCGAAAGUGUAGGUGCGACUUAAUCACACAGCUUGCCGAUGUCACUUUGUCACUUUGUUAAGGCUGUGUCGGUGCAGCGAGGUGCUAAGUGAGGACUGACAGCAGUUUCAGUACGAGUGUGAACUCAGGUACACUCAGGUGUUCCUGUGCUGUCUGAUACAGUCACCGCAGCAGUCAAUCUGCCGCUGAGCUCUCGUCACCGCACAUCGUCGCUGAUCUUUGAGCGUGUGGAGUCGUUGCCCCGACACUCUGAAUCUGAGCGCUCUUUGCUGUCAGCAUCCUCAGUGCACGGCCCCAUGGCCGCUCAGGUGUGCUGUCAGGGAUGAAGAGCAGCAGAAAGACAGAAAGAAGGACUGACCCUGAGGCACAAUAGAGAGCUCAGUCCAUAUGCAAGUUCCUAAUCUGAGGAGUGUGAAACAGCCUCUGCACUGCCUUUACUGCUCCUGUGCACAGAUGAUGCACUGUAACAAUAUCAGGGAUAUGUGUUAUUGAAAGCAAAUCUCUGGCAUAAAUGUAGAAAUAAAUGAGCAUAAAUGAGCACCUCCUUCCCUCCUCUUAAAGGUGGGGUGAGCAGGAAUCUGUUAAAGAAGCAUCUUUUUGCUUUAGUCAAUCAGUCAAUAGCUAUUAGUUAUUGAUAACAUUUGGUCAUAUAACAAUAUCGCUGUGUUCUCUUAUGCCUGUGAAGUCAACAUUUUAAAAUCUCAGAGCUCUCCGCUCUUUCUGACUGUAAAAAAAAGCCAUUCUCCGCCUCCUCCAACCUGAUUGGUUGUAAGGCAGACGCUGCUCCUUCGUGUUGUGAGGCACGCUCCACAUCAUUGAAUAACGUUCACAAGACCAAACAAAGUUAGCGUGCAACAAUAUCGGACCAUAUAAACCAACCAGAAAAUUUGGAAAAUUAUCUGAAUCCUCCUUUGGCCACGACUGCCGACACAAGCAAGAAAACAAAGUAAAUACCGGAGACUCUGGAGGAAUAACGGGCGCUUUAAACGGAGGUAGACCGGACAAGAGCGAAGAAGCCGGGUCAAUAUCAAUUCAGCAUUUGGGGGACACUUCAAGAUCUUAGUGAGUGUAAACCCAACAGAGUGACUGUGAACUGACUUACGUGCUGAUCCACCCUGUAGGUGAAAACUUUGACCUCAUUAUGGCUCUAAUUAAGGGGUUCAAACUCAUUUAAAUUGGUCUGUACAAGAUUUAAUCAAAACUCUCCGCAGUUAAAGGUCCACCUCUGUUGGCACCAGAGGAAAAGUCAACGUCUCAAGGUCUCCAGUUUUCAUUUCUACUCCUAUUCAGCUUUGGCAUUAACUCCACUGAAAGGUGACACUUAUCUGUGAGGAUGCAUUGUUCACUACUUUAAUGUUAAAAAAUUAUCUUUGAAGUAUUUCUUCAAAACUUCCUUCGCUCGUUAGGUCGUCUAAAGCAACAUUUAUUCUUUCUUAUUGAUUUCUUUGACACUGCGAGGUCCUUCUCCAUGCUCAGCUCCCAGGAUGACACACAGACUCUGUGAUAUUCAUAUAACAUUGAUGACUUUCGUGUGGGCAGCCGAGCUGUGCAGAGGAUGAACGCGGCUCCUGCGGCCCGUAAGACCUCCAGGACGCACGCUUCAAAGGACAGCGCUGGUCAUGCGUCCAUCUUGAUAUUUCUGGACUCAAUGAAACAGGUCAACUGGUCUGUGUUAUUGAUUUAAAAACACGGAGGAGUAGAUCCAAUCAGAGAAAUGAACAGGAGUGAUGGUUUUCGAUGAGACUCUGCUCUUUGAUAGAAUAUAAAAAGCCCAUUUAACAACGUCUGCCUGCUCUUUUUUUUAAUGACUCAGAUACACACUAAAAAUAACUGUUCACUGCUUCAUUUAGGUGGAUCACACAAUCCAUGAGGUGACAGCAGUUUUUACACAAAGGGCCCAGUCCCUCUCAAAAUCAAUAAAGCUGCAGCCUAUUAUCAGCUCAGGCAGAGACAGCGGUUAUUUUUCACUCUGAAGUCUUUUCUCUGCAGAAAUACAGUCAAACAGGCCGAGACGAAACCGGGAACUGCUGCAGCGAGAGGAGAAGAUAAUUCAGUUUUCUGCGACUCGUUCAGAAAAACGCAUGUUCAUGUAGACAAUGCAUUGAAGCAUAAUUUAAUUUUAUUUAAUGCUCAGAAUAUUUUGAGAAAAAACACGUUCUUCACGAUAAACUGCUUUAUAUGUAAUAUUAAUGAACUUCCCUAAUUGUGAGCAAACACAGUCAGCUAGGUAGUAAUAUUCAUUUCAUCUAUGUCUACAAAUCAUUAUCAGAUGUUUUUAAGUGUUUAUUGUUUUCAUGGUUAAAUAUCAACAAAAUCAUUUUUCUUGUCCAGUUUUGACAUUUAGGACAUCUGCAGCUGAAUUCUUCCUUUCAAUAAAACAUCAACUCCCAUUUCAGAUAUCAAAACUACGAAGGAGGAUUAGGGCCACUCGAAGGAAAAAAAAGGUCCAAUAUAUAUAUUUUUAUCAUUAUUCUGAGAUUAAAAUCCAAGACAGAGUAUUAGGGCCACAUUUAGAAAAAGACUUCAAGAUUAAAGUCAUUUAUUUAUGAGAACAAAGUCAUUGAUAACGAGACAAAAGUUGUAAUAAAGUAAUCAUUUAUAAGGGUAAAGUCAGAUCAAGUCCUUAUAUUCUAACCUGCUGUUUAAGAUGACAGUAGUUGAAAUGAGAACCAUGGAGCAUUUCAUGAAAAUGUACUUCAAUAUAGGGUUAUAAAAAAAAAUGAGAUACCUUAUCUUUUGGCACAUCAGCACCACAUUAUCAUAAGAAACACAAUGAUUUUAUUACAACUUUAUUCUCAUAAGUAAUAACUUUACUACGACUUUAUUUCCGUUAGUAACGACUUUAAUCCCAAAGUCUUAAUUUUUGUUUUCUUAAUUUGGCCCUGAUACUCUGUCGUAAAGAUCUGAAUUCUGAGAAAAAAAGAUAGAGAUUAAAGUCAGAAUUCUGUCUUUAAUCUCAGAAUAAAUUUAAUAAAAUCUAAUUUAUUGGACCUUUUUUCCCUUGCGGUUUUUGGCUCUUGUACACUGGCUUCACUUUCUGCUUGAUUCUUCCACAUAUUUUUAUCUUAACUCAAAGUCUGAUCCUCUCUUGCUAACCUUAUAUUCUCACUUACAAACAGCUUGCAUGUGUACGGUGGGUUUUAGCUGAACAGGUGUUUCUUUUACUCAUAUAAAUGGUGCAAAAAGGAAAAAAAAACACUCUUUACUGAUGAAUCAUGUCGUCCAUCUGGCCUGAUGACUUGCAGUUUUUUUUCUCACUCACUCUGUUAUCUUUAACACGUGGUUUAAAGUGCAGGGGAGGAUCUGUCCACAUCAGUUACCUGUGAUAUCAUCAGAGGUGAGUGCUACCUGGCACCUCUGAUUUGACUCAUACUUAUUUAGCGUAGCAGGAUAUAAGAAGAGCCGAACAAGCCGUGCUCUGUGUGAUCAGCUGUCAGGAUUCAUUUCAGUUCGCAUGGAGAAGGUGAGACCUGUUAAACAGACUCAGAGCUUCAUUUGAUCUCCCUGCUUGUAUUACUCUGCAAAAUGCUGCUGGAAUAACUCGGCUGACUUCUGCAUAAUGCAUAUUUGAUGGAGAUUGAGGGCUCUAAAAUGAGCGGUGUGGGAGGAAUAAAAGAGAUAUCAUCUUUGCCACUGUCCGUCAGUCCCAUGAGGUCACUGAUUUAUUUAUUCCUCCUCCGACAAAACAUCUGUUACUGUGAUUAGAUUCUGAUGAGACUAACCCUGGAAUAAUGUCGAUAAUAUUCAUGCACAAGAACACGAUUUGUUCAUAAAAUGGUUGGACACAUAACAACACUGACUCUUUAUACCAAACAUGUAUACUAACUUAAAGGUGGGGUAGGCAGGAAUCCGUUAAAGAAGCAUCUUUUUUGUGGUGUGUUUACAAAAAAGCUUUUAAUAUCAGUCAAUAGCUCUAAAUUAUUGAUGACACUUGGUCAUAUAACGAUAUUGCUGUGUUUUGUUAUGUCUGUGUAGUCAACAUUUUAACAUUUUUGAGCGACCCUGUAAACAAAGACGCUGCUCCCCCGUGUCGUUCAGGAGCCCAAACAAAGUUAGCGUGCUACAACGGCUAACAACUGCUAACGACAGCUAACUUGUUUACUGGAACGCCGUCAACUCGGGUGUACUGCAUUCCCAGCUCCGACAUCUGACCUCCAAGAUUACUGGAACGCAGCAUUAUUCCCAUGCUUUGACUCACUGAGCGCCAGUCUGUUCUGUUGCCAUGACAACAAGUCUUUAGGUUUACACUUCUUAAACACACUGUUUCAUUAAACUUUGUUAUAAUCUCUCCAGGUGAAAAAUUUACUGUUAACACUUUGUUAAACACUCUUAAAUAAGAGAACUUUUCAUGGUUGUUUAAACUACGAAAACAUUUAAAAAGCUGCUCAGACUGAAAAAAUCCAAAUUUUUGUUCAAUGGAUGCUGAUUUACUCUUGACGCUAAAAUUACAGUUUCAGCUCAGCGGCCUUGACAGCCUCGACAGGGCUCGGAGAUAAAACUAGAACGUUUUACUAAUUGAGAAAAA
Non-coding RNA from Xyrichtys novacula (pearly razorfish), 4580 nucleotides. The record is from the annotation of a GenBank genome assembly. Lineage: Eukaryota; Metazoa; Chordata; Actinopteri; Labriformes; Labridae.